AGAGCAAAGGAGAACCAAGGAUGACUUGCCUGAAGAUUUUAUCCCAAGCGCGAUGAGUAAUGAGGGCGUAUAUCAGGCAAGUCAUCCUUGGCUCAUUUCUGCUCUCU
This 107-nucleotide microRNA precursor is filed under the name Rosa chinensis. Lineage: Eukaryota; Viridiplantae; Streptophyta; Magnoliopsida; Rosales; Rosaceae. The record is from RNAcentral.